Molecule: ribosomal RNA, 578 nt
Filed under: Moraxella lacunata
Lineage: Bacteria; Pseudomonadati; Pseudomonadota; Gammaproteobacteria; Moraxellales; Moraxellaceae
Description: bacterial SSU rRNA
Rfam family: Bacterial small subunit ribosomal RNA
Source: RNAcentral
CUGGCGGCAGGCUUAACACAUGCAAGUCGAACGAUGAAGUCUAGCUUGCUAGACGGAUUAGUGGCGAACGGGUGAGUAAUGCUUAGGAAUCUGCCUAUUAGUGGGGGAUAACGUAGGGAAACUUACGCUAAUACCGCAUACGUCUUACGAGAGAAAGGGGGCUUUUAGCUCUCGCUAAUAGAUGAGCCUAAGUCGGAUUAGCUAGUUGGUGGGGUAAAGGCCUACCAAGGCGACGAUCUGUAGCUGGUCUGAGAGGAUGAUCAGCCACACUGGGACUGAGACACGGCCCAGACUCCUACGGGAGGCAGCAGUGGGGAAUAUUGGACAAUGGGCGAAAGCCUGAUCCAGCCAUGCCGCGUGUGUGAAGAAGGCCUUUUGGUUGUAAAGCACUUUAAGUGGGGAGGAAAAGCUUGUGGUUAAUACCCACAAGCCCUGACGUUACCCACAGAAUAAGCACCGGCUAACUCUGUGCCAGCAGCCGCGGUAAUACAGAGGGUGCAAGCGUUAAUCGGAAUUACUGGGCGUAAAGCGAGCGUAGGUGGUCAUUUAAGUCAGAUGUGAAAGCCCCGGGCUUAACC